RNAcentral lists this ribosomal RNA (242 nucleotides) under uncultured bacterium. RNAcentral's name for it is "partial 16S ribosomal RNA". It matches the Rfam family "Bacterial small subunit ribosomal RNA", at positions 535 to 776 of the family's 1533-position model. The record is from RNAcentral.
CUAGCGUUGCUCGGAAUCACUGGGCGUAAAGCGCACGUAGGCGGCUUUUUACGUCAGGGGUUAAAUCCUGGAGCUCAACUCCAGAACUGCCUUUGAUACUGGGAAGCUUGAGUCCGGGAGAGGUGAGUGGAACUCCGAGUGUAGAGGUGAAAUUCGUAGAUAUUCGGAAGAACACCAGUGGCGAAGGCGGCUCACUGGCCCGGUACUGACGCUGAGGUGCGAAAGCGUGGGGAGCAAACAGG